Molecule: unclassified non-coding RNA, 330 nt
Filed under: soil metagenome
Description: partial contains 5.8S ribosomal RNA, internal transcribed spacer 2, and large subunit ribosomal RNA
Rfam family: 5.8S ribosomal RNA (bases 1-120)
Source: RNAcentral
GAUGAAGAACGCAGCGAAAUGCGAUAAGUAAUGUGAAUCGCAGAAUUCAGUGAAUCAUCGAAUCUUUGAACGCACAUUGCGCCCUCUGGUAUUCCGGGGGGCAUGCCUGUUCGAGCGUCAUUACAACCCUCAAGCUUUGCUUGGUAUUGGACAUUGCCAGUUUCUGGCAGGUCUUAAAAUCAGUGGCGGUGCCAUUUGGCUUCAAGCGUAGUAAUUCUUCUCGCUUUGGAGAUCCAAGUGGUUACUUGCCAAUAACCCCCAAUUUUUUCAGGUUGACCUCGGAUCAGGUAGGGAUACCCGCUGAACUUAAGCAUAUCAAUAAGCGGAGGA